GCUAACUUUCAAAGAGCUCGAUCAUCUGAUCAACGGACAUGCCAUGAAGCUCCAUCUUUCCCAAGAGCUCCUCACAUGAUUCCCUUUCUCUUUCCCCGGUCAACCUCCCAAACCCAUGCUAACUUUCAACGAGCUCGAUCAUCUGAUCAACGAACAUGCCAUGAAGCUCCAUCUUUCCCAAGAGCUCCUCAAGCCGUUUCUUACUGAACCUCAUUUUCACCUCUUUAGAGUCCCCACCAUAUUCUCUCUAGAACCCAUUUUGCUCUAUCUCUGCCCAAACACACAC
RNAcentral lists this long non-coding RNA (286 nucleotides) under Amborella trichopoda. RNAcentral's name for it is "long non-coding RNA (ATRI_LNC002976)". The record is from RNAcentral. Lineage: Eukaryota; Viridiplantae; Streptophyta; Magnoliopsida; Amborellales; Amborellaceae.